This is a long non-coding RNA of Papaver somniferum (opium poppy), 490 nucleotides long. RefSeq lists it as uncharacterized. The transcript is spliced from 2 exons. Lineage: Eukaryota; Viridiplantae; Streptophyta; Magnoliopsida; Ranunculales; Papaveraceae. The record is from RefSeq and is a predicted model, not a curated record.
UCUCUUUCUUCUUCUAUCUUCUAUGUUGUUCUUCUUCAUGUUCUUUCUCUUUCUCUUCUCUGUCGAUCUCAAUUCGAAGAAUUGAGUUUGUUAUCGUGUGAGAAAUUGCUUAGAAACUCGUCAGUAAGUUGAAUCGAAGGAUUAGGUGAUUGUACUGUGAUUGUUUGAGCUCGAGUGAAGUAGGAGUGAUUCUGUUGAAUCAAUUAGGGUUCUGUUCUUGAGUUGGAAGAGAGAUUAAGAGGAGUUUUGAGUUUCUAUUGGAUGAAGAUCGAAUGGGUUGGUGUUUAAUUAAUGUUCUGAAGCUGUUCUUAUGAAGAAUCACGAACCAGUUUCAGUAAUCAGAAGAUAUGGAGUACGCGAAGAUAUCCGUUUCGUAGCUUAGAGCUUUAUCGAAUAUAGUGUUGUUGUGUAUCUUAUAUGUAUUCUUUCUUUAUUCUGUAAACGACACAUUAUUAUAUUCAUAUCACUCAAGAGAUUUCCAAUUGUAUAA